This is a long non-coding RNA of Salvelinus fontinalis (brook trout), 661 nucleotides long. RefSeq lists it as uncharacterized. The record is from RefSeq and is a predicted model, not a curated record. The transcript is spliced from 3 exons. NCBI's taxonomy places the organism in Eukaryota, Metazoa, Chordata, Actinopteri, Salmoniformes, Salmonidae.
CUGUGCCACACACAAGACUGUCACACACACAGACCCCUGCUCUUCUCUCCCCCACCCUUCCAAGCAGAGCUGAGCAGCGCAGCGCACCGCACUGCCUAAUGAUGACGAGACUUCCGCCAUGAGCUGAUUGGCUGACUAAGUUAUGACCAGGAAGAGACGUCUUCGCUGAAUCGUUUCAUCAUAGGAAUGAAUGCUAGAUUGAUGCCUGCAGCUUCUCCAUCAAAUCGAAAUAAACAAAGAAACAGAGUACUUUGCAGAGCCAACAGGCGAAAAUAGAAAACGAUAGAGCCUGGGGCAAGACGAGAGUGAACCUCGGAUUUGCGUUCACAACCUGAAGAGGGCGAGCUAGCUAACGUUAGCUAGGGGAUUCAAAACCGACCAAUACUUGUCCUAAUUUCUGCUCAAAAGUCCUACUACAACUGGAUGCAGUUGGCACAUCCCUGAGUGGAGAAGGAUCAGAUCGGUCUUCGUCUGAGCUCGACUACAGCAGAACUGGACUACAUCAAUAAUCACCAUCCAGUCAUGGAGAACGCUUACGGGAAGUGUGAACCUACAGAGUACUCAGAAAUGUUGAUGAAAGGGGCCUUCAACCAAACACAUGAAUCAUAUGGAAAUAAGGAACGUUUGUGUGGACAACAAUAAACUUGUGUGUGAAACCAUA